AAUAAUUAUUAGAUUCAUGAAUAUUGAAUAGAUGGGAAUGUGAACUGCAGUGUUACAUAGCUUAGUAUUUUUUUUCUUGUGCAGUCGUAUAAUGAAGUUGAAAGCACUUAGUUUUCUCCAAUCUAUAUUAUUUGAUUUAUCUGAAAACAUCCUUUAAUUCAACAAAUAAACGGUGAAAUGUGUGUGCAUUAUGGAGUAUACACUAAUCAACCCUAUGGCACCUUUUAAUUCUGUGUUCUUGUCAUAUAGAUUAUUUUUGUUGCCCCUGAGGUAGUUCCGAUAUGGUAUAAAUAUAAAUCACAUCAUGUCAAAUUAUAUACAAUUUCCUUUCAACAGAACAAAUGAAUGGAUAGUUGCAGAGAAGAAAUGGCUCAGGUUUUGGAUGUAAGCACAGCUUUUUUUAUUGAUGUGGAGGAGAGGACAGGGAUGAGUGCUGGUAUGAUGAAUCUGUCAGGAAGAGGGGCAGUCGAGAGGUGUUUUUUUAAUCAAGACAUUCAGCGAAGGGUAAUCUCUCACACACCCAACCUGGUCAGGACUCGUUUUAAGGGCGGAUUCACAAUCAUUAAGUCAAUUGAAUCAUUGAGAAGGAUUCAGACUAAGUGCUAGCUACAGCCAACCCAGUCAGCCAGAUUCAGAACAUGUGGUUGUGUGAAAAUGUCUUUACCUCUACUCACUGGAAGAUAUCGCUCUAAAUACAACCUGCAAAAACUGAAUAAACCCUUUCUGUAAUGUUAAUUUUCUUUAUCUUUAAGAUGUAAAUAAAGGUUGACAUCCAAAUGAAUAAAAGGAAAAUAAGGAAUAUGUAUAAUAUUACUUGAGGAUUACUUGAAAGGAUUAAGACAUUUAUUAAUUUGAUGUCUUCAACAGAGACUAAAUAGUUGAUACCCUUAUGUUCUCUUUACCAAGUUCAAUGAUGACCCAUGGUGAAUUUUGAAUAUAUAUUUUCUAUAAUAUACUGAACAUGUUGUGUUGGUAACAUGUUUCAUGAGCUAAAAUAAAAGAUCCCAGACAUGUUCCAUAUGCGC
Molecule: long non-coding RNA, 1025 nt
Filed under: Salmo salar (Atlantic salmon)
Lineage: Eukaryota; Metazoa; Chordata; Actinopteri; Salmoniformes; Salmonidae
Description: lncRNA (ENSSSAG00000099497.1)
Source: RNAcentral